Molecule: transfer RNA, 69 nt
Filed under: Aeromonas hydrophila
Lineage: Bacteria; Pseudomonadati; Pseudomonadota; Gammaproteobacteria; Aeromonadales; Aeromonadaceae
Description: tRNA-Met
Rfam family: tRNA
About the family: Transfer RNA (tRNA) molecules are approximately 80 nucleotides in length. Their secondary structure includes four short double-helical elements and three loops (D, anti-codon, and T loops). Further hydrogen bonds mediate the characteristic L-shaped molecular structure. tRNAs have two regions of fundamental functional importance: the anti-codon, which is responsible for specific mRNA codon recognition, and the 3' end, to which the tRNAs corresponding amino acid is attached (by aminoacyl-tRNA synthetases). tRNAs cope with the degeneracy of the genetic code in two manners: having more than one tRNA (with a specific anti-codon) for a particular amino acid; and 'wobble' base-pairing, i.e. permitting non-standard base-pairing at the 3rd anti-codon position.
Source: RNAcentral
CGGGGUGGAGCAGCUCGGUAGCUCGUCGGGCUCAUAACCCGAAGGUCGUCGGUUCAAAUCCGGCCCCCG